ACGCUGGCGGCACGCCUAACACAUGCAAGUCGAACGAAGUAGCAAUACUUAGUGGCAGACGGGUGAGUAACAUGUAGGUAUCUGCCCUUUGGCCUGGAAUAACACGAGGAAACUUGUGCUAAUACCGGAUAAGUCUUUACAGAGAAAGCUUUAUGCACCAUUGGAUGAGCCUGCACUUGAUUAGUUUGUUGGUGGGGUAAUGGCCUACCAAGACUGUGAUCAAUAGCUGAUUUGAGAGGAUGAUCAGCCACAUUGGGACUGAGACACGGCCCAAACUCCUACGGGAGGCAGCAGUGGGGAAUCUUGCACAAUGGAGGAAACUCUGAUGCAGCGAUGCCGCGUGAGUGAAGAAGGCCUUUGGGUUGUAAAGCUCUUUCGUCGGGGAAGAAAAUGACUGUACCCGAAUAAGAAGGUCCGGCUAACUUCGUGCCAGCAGCCGCGGUAAUACGAAGGGACCUAGCGUAGUUCGGAAUUACUGGGCUUAAAGAGUUCGUAGGUGGUUGAAAAAGUUAGUGGUGAAAUCCCAGAGCUUAACUCUGGAACUGCCAUUAAAACUUUUUAGCUAGAGUAUGAUAGAGGAAAGCAGAAUUUCUAGUGUAGAGGUGAAAUUCGUAGAUAUUAGAAAGAAUACCAAUUGCGAAGGCAGCUUUCUGGAUCAUUACUGACACUGAGGAACGAAAGCAUGGGUAGCGAAGAGGAUUAGAUACCCUCGUAGUCCAUGCCGUAAACGAUGUGUGUUAGACGUUGGAAAUUUAUUUUCAGUGUCGCAGCGAAAGCGAUAAACACACCGCCUGGGGAGUACGACCGCAAGGUUAAAACUCAAAUGAAUUGACGGGGACCCGCACAAGUAGUGGAGCAUGUGGUUUAAUUCGAAGAUACGCGCAGAACCUUACCAACACUUGACAUGUUCGUCGCGACUCUAAGAGAUUAGAGUUUUCGGUUCGGCCGGACGAAACACAGGUGCUGCAUGGCUGUCGUCAGCUCGUGUCGUGAGAUGUUGGGUUAAGUCCCGCAACGAGCGCAACCCUCACUUUUAGUUGCCAUCAUUAAGUUGGGCACUCUGAAAGAACUGCCAGUGAUAAGCUGGAGGAAGGUGGGGAUGACGUCAAGUCCUCAUGGCCCUUACGUGUUGGGCUACACACGUGCUACAAUGGUAUCUACAACAGGAAGCAAGACUGCGAAGUUAAGCAAAUCCCUAAAAGAUACCUCAGUUCGGAUUGCACUCUGCAACUCGAGUGCAUGAAGCUGGAAUUACUAGUAAUCGUGGAUCAGCGUGCCACGGUGAAUGCGUUCCCGGGUCUUGUACACACCGCCC
Molecule: ribosomal RNA, 1315 nt
Filed under: uncultured Alphaproteobacteria bacterium
Lineage: Bacteria; Pseudomonadati; Pseudomonadota; Alphaproteobacteria
Description: uncultured alpha proteobacterium 16S ribosomal RNA
Rfam family: Bacterial small subunit ribosomal RNA
Source: RNAcentral